This 209-nucleotide ribosomal RNA is filed under the name uncultured bacterium. RNAcentral's name for it is "partial 16S ribosomal RNA". It matches the Rfam family "Bacterial small subunit ribosomal RNA", at positions 568 to 774 of the family's 1533-position model. The record is from RNAcentral.
CUCGUAGGUGGCCAAUUAAGUCAGACGUGAAAUCCCCAACGCUUAACUUGGGAACUGCGUCUGAUACUGAGUGGCUUGAAUUCGGGAGAGGGAUGCAGAAUUCCAGGCGUAGCGGUGAAAUGCGUAGAUAUCUGGAGGAAUACCGGUGACGAAGGCGGCAUCCUGGACCGAGAUUGACACUGGAGGAAGCGAAAGCCAGGGAGCGAAAG